UACGGAGGGUGCAAGCGUUAAUCGGAAUUACUGGGCGUAAAGCGUGCGCAGGCGGUUUGGUAAGUCCGCUGUGAAAUCCCCGAGCUCAACUUGGGAAUUGCAGUGGAUACUGCCAAGCUGGAGUAUGGUAGAGGAAGGUGGAAUUCCCGGUGUAGCAGGGAAAUGCGUAGAGAUCGUAAGGAAGACCAGUGGCGAAGGCGAGUUUCUGGACGGUAACUGACGCUGAGGCACGAAGGCCAGGGGAGCAAACGGG
This 253-nucleotide ribosomal RNA is filed under the name uncultured bacterium. Its description in RNAcentral is "partial 16S ribosomal RNA". It matches the Rfam family "Bacterial small subunit ribosomal RNA", at positions 524 to 776 of the family's 1533-position model. The record is from RNAcentral.